ACCUGCCCCAGAGUCACUGCCCCAAAGUUGUGCUCCCUCUGAUUUUUAUCUCGUCUAUUAUGUCGGCCAGGGAGUGGUGUUUCCUUUUGCUGUUUCAGAUAGGAAUUCCGUAUCCACGAAUGCUAGUAUUUCUAGUUGCUCAAGUACCUUUUAUAUUCCACUCUUAUGAUCUUUUUCUUGGAUAAACAUGUGGAUUUCACUAAUACAUUUCAUUUCUAGAUUAGCAAUGAUAUUUUAAGUGCUACUACACCCAACAUCAAUCCUUGGCACAGGCUGAUGGAUGCAACUUGUAUUUUUUUCUCUUCCAAUUGCCUUUCUGAUGGCCUUCUAGGAAUGGAAAAGUGCUUCUGUGCCUAAGAGCACGUUCAGUUUUCCAACAGCAUCUUCUGCAAUAUGGAUGGGAACUGCCAUCGUGUUGUUGUGAAGUAACUACUGAGCUCUGAAGAGAGCGCCUGAGGCUGUGCUGCUCUUCUCAGAAGAAAAAAGGAUAAACAGAAUCAUUCUUCUAGAAGAAGAUGUAAUUUGAAAGAUACCAGGAACACUGGGCCCUAUUCUGCCUAGGCUGUAGCAGGAUGAAGUUUCAUUACAUAAGGAUACGUUUCAAGUGCAAUAUAACAGUCUGAAGAAAUAAAUGUGGGUCCUAAAACCCGAUGAAGUUAACAGUGGACGUCUGAAUUUCCACUCUUACCAAGAGAUGUUCCUUUGCGGCAAACGACUUGGGUUUUGGCAAGGGAUUUGUUUAUUGCAGUGGGGACUUGCACAAUGAGGCUCCAUCCCGGCUGAUGCAGCCAGGGACAUUCCUGGACACUACACCGGUUCCCGCGUGCUGUUGAAUGCUUAACACAUUGCACAACCCUCGCUCUGCCAAUUAGCACUCUCCCGAGCCCUUCCCAGGCACCGCUCAUGAGGUCAGCGUGGCCUCUUCCCAGCAGGUGCUUUGGCAAGAGACCCUCAGUACGGGAAGGUUGCAACGGUGUGGCUGCAGACUCUUUUCCUGCCUGCUGGGCUUUCCGCGGAGCGCCGCGGGCCGUGCCAUGCGCUGCUGUGCUUGAGGCUCGCUGGUGGCAGAGCUGGGACAUGAGGCACAGGGUUUGAGCUGAGAGGGGAAUCAGCUCCCGCUUUUGCGGUGACACAGCUGCUUUGAGAAGUCUCAGUCAGAACGUAAGGACUGCCGGUGAAUUCUGUUGCUUGGACCAUCAGCUGAAUAUGUCCACAGCAGGCUCAGUGUCUCUCAAACAUCUGAGGCCUCCUGAACCUGUUCAGCUCCGGAUAAAUAGGGAACUAAAGCUGCUAUUAUGUGUGCUGUGUGAGAGGCAAGGUGGCACGCUCUGCAUACAUGGAUUGUUUUUUACAUAUAAUACAGUAAAAAUGAUGUAUCCCCCUCUUCACAGUCCUUACUAUGUAUGUGCUAUGCACCAGUUUUCUCAUAUUUCUCCUCAAACAGCCUUAUGAAUGCUCAUAAAAUAUUAAUUCCUCAGAACUUGUUUGCAUUACACCUUGCCAUAGGUUUUUAUUUCUUUAGUCUCGCAUCUUUAACUUUGAAGAAUUUGUGUUUUCAUCAUUGUCCAUUUAAUGGUUGUACAAUGUGCACAGUUAAGAUCUCCAAACUAAUCACUUGCUAGGAAAGUGUUCUCAGUCAAUUAGGUGGAUUUUUUUUAAAAAAAAAAUUUAUUUGUUUCCUACAUUUAUUCAGGACCUGUACAUUUAUUUGCACAUUUAUAUUUAUUUUUAUAUGAAAAUCAAGUGUCAUAGUAAAUUAAAGGGAAUGGGUGGCAAAAUUUUCUUUGCCAACUACCUGCCUUGAAAUGACAUUUGAAAAACACAUAUACUGAUAUUUAUAAAAUAGCUGAGCUUGUCGGUAUAUCAAGAGCAAGGACUCUCUCAUACUUUAAGCCCCAGCAUAAGAAGUAGGGGGAAAGGUCUAUGAAAUUUCUUUCUAAUAAGAAAAGUAUUUGUGGUAACAGACUUGGUGAUACUAUUUUUGUAUGCUUGAUAUAACCAGUCGUUGCUGGGCUUUUUAGCUGUGAAAAAUACAAACAUUCUAGACAUCCAGGAAAUACCUCUGUACUUUUUCAUCCCAGUAUGUAAUCCCUGUCAUUGCCAAAUCUGCUGAGUUUUCUGUAAACAAAUCCAGGUGACACAGGCACUGAUGUGCAUCAUAGCAGUGAAGGAAGAGUCAGAAAAAGAGGAAAAAAGGUCUGCACUUGCUGUCACUGAAGUAAUGACACAAUUCUUACCUUGGGCCAAAGGCAGGGUUUGGGAAGAAGGUUGAUUUGUCAGAGCUUAUCGUGAGCAGGCAGGACUUGGGGGGCAUUGAGUGCAGAGUUUGCUUGGUUGUUUUCCCUAAAUUACUGUACUUACCAAGUCCCUUGAGAGUAGUGUCACUUCUUUUGUCUUGGCACACUUGUUCUUAAAUGACGUGCAAAGAUUUCAGAAAGUAAAAGAAGAACAUGUAAACACAAAUAGAAAACAUCACUCACUGUCAUAUUUUCCAAGAUACUUUAUUUAGCUCAUGUUUACAGAUGAAACAGAAAAGAGACACUGCAUCCCACAGUAUUAGUUAUACUCCAGCUUGCAAGGAAAAUUUUUGUCAGUAACCUUUAGUAAUAUUUGGACCAAAAAUACACAGUUGUGCAGCUGUCAGCAUUUGUGCCAUGUAGAAUGCAGCCUCUCUCACAGGUCCUCUGUUUCUGGAACAGCGUUGGAUUCCGCAGGCUGAAUGAACACUACAGGGAUAUUCUCAGACGUCCAUCCUUUGGGAGUCCUGUUGAAGGAUCUUCUGGCAGCAAGAGGGUUUGCAAGGAUCAUGAAUCUGGGAUCGUUUAGCAUCAGCAUAUUAUAAUCUGGUACCUUGAAUUUAACCAGCUUUGAUGCUCUCUCAAAACCACCAAAGGGAGUGGCAACCCUGUAGAUAUCAGAGAAAUAAAAGUUAAUGUGAUUUUAAAAAUGCUUCUUUUCUUUUCCUCCCAGAAGCUAAAAAGAACAGAUUUUUGUUCCAAAUUCUUGUUUACAUUUUCAGGCUUUGGAGAAAAGCAUUCUGUUUGUUUUUGGGGGGAAAUUCUCUUUCAGAUCUGAUUAAUUUCCCCUUAGAUAAAGCUCGAAGCCUUUUUAAAAUUCAAAUGGAUGGAAAAGCCAGAGAGAAAAAGACGUUGCAAGAAAACCCUGUAACUGGUGAGUCACAGUUACUAAACUUACUUUGUUGGUGAUAAGUUGAUAAGUCUGAAACUGUAGCUCAACACAUUCUCUCUAGAAAGUAAUUAGUUCAGAAACUUCUCACCCCAUUUUCUCCUCUCCUCAGCUGCUUGUUCCUCCCACUGCGCUGUAUUUCAGCACCAUAUUGUCGUACCAGUUAGAAUGUAUGUGGGUUGUGCUAUAAACUUGGGUCACUUCUGUGAUCUGGGUUAAACAAAGACCCUUCAAAACAAAGGAGCGCUUCAAAAUCAAAAUUAUUUCAGCAAUCUGGUUUAUAUCAGUAUGCUCGAACAAUUUUAGUGAUACAAGUAAAGAGGAGUGGAGCUUAAUGACUGAAGCAGAAAGGAACAGCCAAAGACAACAGGGUCUGGAAAGGAGGGAAUGGGUGAGGACUUGAUACACCAGCUUUGUUUCUGAAGAAAAUGUUUAUGUAACUAAACCUUGAAACACUGUUCAGCCAGUAUUUUUCAUGUUAUUUAAAUGUAAAUUUUCCCUCAGGCAGUAAGCCUGAGAAACUGAAAGAUAAGGAAUACUAAACUGGAGCUGACUGUUACAUGCAUUUGCAAAUACUUUAAAACAACAGUAUUUCCAAAUACCUCCCCUGAUCUUCUGUAUAUACAGGUUUCAGACUGAAAAAAACCCCUUGAGUUUUCCUGUCACUUCUUCCAGCCUCCUUUGUAUAAACAAACAGACUAUGGUAUGUGCUCUGCAUUUUGAUCAGCUGCAUAACUAACUUUGCUGGGAUAUAUUCUCGCCAGUGAGGAGUGUCAGAUUUUUGAACUGCACAAAGCACAUGAUUUCUGCAAAGCCAGACAUAUAAUGGCAUGGGAAAAUGAUUUUUUGUUGAAACGGAAUUUCACCCGCCUUGGCAUAAUUUGUGCACAGUACAGAAAUAUUUCCAGUGGCCCCAGGUAUUAUAGCAGAAGCCCAGAGAAAUUAAUACCAAGAGAAACUAAAAGAGAUCAUUUGAAGAUCUGUCUAGGAUUUUCAGCAGGAUAAAGCCCCUAGGUUUUGUACUAAGAAUUAAGUACAUAUACACGAAAGGAAGAGAUUAGUUCAGAAAAAAUGCAUCUAUGACAUAAAAGAAAUUAUGCUGUUUUGUCAUUACAUGGAUGAUUCACUGCAUCUUGGUAGAGGCAACAUUUGUUGAAGGGGAUGGUGUUAACUCCAAAGCAUCGAUCCUGGGAGAUAUGAAAAAUCAUGCAAACUCUGGGCAUGCACCCUCACUGAGAGAGGAACACUGCUUAGGAUUAAGCUCUAAAAAUGUGUCUCAAAUGAUGAUAAGACAAGAUGUUGCAGCAACAGCCAGUCCAGGUAUUAAACUCUCUUGAGGUCAAAGGAAAUUGUUUAUCCAAAGUCGGUAUCGAGCCUGUGGUAUCAAAAUUUUCUUGUGGGGCUGUCUUCUAGGUCACAAUGUCAACAUGGAUACCAUAUGAUACUGAUUAAAAAUAAUUGCUUGGUAAUUGGCACAGAGUGAAUGUAGUGAUCUACAUAUCACUGGAUAAUAAAUAUUGUCUUAAUUGCUGCCCUAAUUACAAUACAUAUUCUCAUUGUUGUGAUGUUUAAUUAUCAUUGAUGUGUAUAUUAAAGGGAUAAUAAAAAUAAACAGAAUUAUAGUAGUUGUAUAAAUUGCAAAAGAAUUCUGCUGUCUAAAACAUCUUCCUUGUAGUAUUUAUGGUUUUUAAAUAGAACAUAUUCCUGGAUGUAACAGAAACAGGAGGGCUUUCUUUGGAAACUCAAGUAUCUUUUGUGGCAAAAUACCCCCCUGUAGUUGCUAUACAACGUCUGGCCU
Long non-coding RNA from Hirundo rustica (Barn swallow), 4984 nucleotides. RefSeq lists it as uncharacterized. Lineage: Eukaryota; Metazoa; Chordata; Aves; Passeriformes; Hirundinidae. The transcript is spliced from 3 exons. The record is from RefSeq and is a predicted model, not a curated record.